This 484-nucleotide ribosomal RNA is filed under the name uncultured bacterium. RNAcentral describes it as "partial 16S ribosomal RNA". It matches the Rfam family "Bacterial small subunit ribosomal RNA", at positions 30 to 507 of the family's 1533-position model. The record is from RNAcentral.
AUUGAACGCUGGCGGCAGGCCUAACACAUGCAAGUCGAGCGGAUGAAGGGAGCUUGCUCCUGGAUUCAGCGGCGGACGGGUGAGUAAUGCCUAGGAAUCUGCCUGGUAGCGGGGGAUAACGUCCGGAAACGGGCGCUAAUAUCGCAUACGUCCUGAGGGAGCCAGUGGGGGAUCUUCCGACCUCACGCUAUCAGAUGAGCCUAGGUUGGAUGAGCUAGUUGGUGGGGUAAAGGCCUUCCAAGGCGACGAUCCGUAACUGGUCUGAGAGGAUGAUCAGUCACACUGGAACUGAGGCACGGCCCAGACACCUACGGGAGGCAGCGGUCGGGAAUAUUGCAGGAUGGGCGAAAGGCUGAUCCAGCCAUGCCGGGGGUAUGAAGAAGGUCUUCGGAUUGUAAAGCACUUUAAGUUGGGAGGAAGGGCAGUAAGUUUAUACCUUGCUGUUUUGACGUUACCGAGAGAAUAAGCACCGGCUAACUUCGUG